This 497-nucleotide ribosomal RNA is filed under the name uncultured bacterium. RNAcentral's name for it is "partial 16S ribosomal RNA". It matches the Rfam family "Bacterial small subunit ribosomal RNA", at positions 28 to 507 of the family's 1533-position model. The record is from RNAcentral.
GAUGAACGCUGGCGGCGUGCCUAGUACAUGCAAGUCGAGCGAACAGACGAGGAGCUUGCUCCUCUGACGUUAGCGGCGGACGGGUGAGUAACACGUGGAUAACCUACCUAUAAGACUGGGAUAACUUCGGGAAACCGGAGCUAAUACCGGAUAAUAUAUUGAACCGCAUGGUUCAAUAGUGAAAGACGGUUUUGCUGUCACUUAUAGAUGGAUCCGCGCCGCAUUAGCUGGUUGGUAAGGUAACGGCUUACCAAGGCAACGAUGCGUAGCCGACCUGAGAGGGUGAUCGGCCACACUGGAACUGAGACACGGUCCAGACUCCUACGGGAGGCAGCAGUAGGGAAUCUUCCGCGAUGGGCGAAAGCCUGACGGAGCAACGCCGCGUGAGUGAUGAAGGUCUUCGGAUCGUAAAACUCUGUUAUUAGGGAAGAACAAAUGUGUAAGUAACUAUGCACGUCUUGACGGUACCUAAUCAGAAAGCCACGGCUAACUACGUG